CUGGUUGAUCCUGCCAGAGGUUACUGCUAUCGAGAUUCGACUAAGCCAUGCGAGUUGAAUGUUCUUCGUGAACAUGGCGGACUGCUCAGUAACACGUGGACAACCUACCCUUUGGUCCGGCAUAAUCCUGGGAAACUGGGGAUAAUUCCGGAUAGGUCACAGAUGCUGGAAUGCACUGUGGCUGAAAGCUCCGGCGCCGAAGGAUGGGUCUGCGGCCUAUCAGGGUUGUAGUGGGUGUAAUGUACCUACUAGCCUACGACGGGUACGGGUUGUGAGAGCAAGAGCCCGGAGAUGGAUUCUGAGACACGAAUCCAGGGCCUACGGGGUGCAGCAGGCGCGAAAACUUUACAAUGCGGGAAACCGUGAUAAGGGAAUCUCGAGUGGCAGCAUAUAAUGGUGGCUGGCCAGAUGCCUAAAAAGCAUCUGUUAGCAAGGGCCGGGCAAGACCGGUGCCAGCCGCCGCGGUAACACCGGCGGGCCCGAGUGGUGACGGCUUUUAUGUGGUCUAAAGGGUCUGUAGCCGGCCAGGUAGGUCCCUUGGGAAAGUCUGGCAGCUCAGUGUCAGGCUGCUAGGGGAUACUGUUUUGGCUUGGACCGGGAGAGGUGAGAGGUACCUUNGGGGGUAGGGGUGGAAAUCUUGUGGAUCUUCGGGGGACCACCAGUGGGCGAGGGCUCUUCCCCCGACGGGGUCCCACGGGAAGGGAACCAAAGCUAGG
RNAcentral lists this ribosomal RNA (716 nucleotides) under uncultured archaeon. RNAcentral describes it as "bacterial SSU rRNA". It matches the Rfam family "Archaeal small subunit ribosomal RNA", at positions 4 to 715 of the family's 1478-position model. The record is from RNAcentral.